This 1346-nucleotide ribosomal RNA is filed under the name uncultured bacterium. RNAcentral describes it as "partial 16S ribosomal RNA". It matches the Rfam family "Bacterial small subunit ribosomal RNA", at positions 28 to 1381 of the family's 1533-position model. The record is from RNAcentral.
GACGAACGUUGGCGGCGCGCUUAACACAUGCAAGUCGAACGGAAAGGCCCUGCUUUUGUGGGGUGCUCGAGUGGCGAACGGGUGAGUAACACGUGAGUAACCUGCCCUUGACUUUGGGAUAACUUCAGGAAACUGGGGCUAAUACCGGAUAGGAGCUCCUGCUGCAUGGUGGGGGUUGGAAAGUUUCGGCGGUUGGGGAUGGACUCGCGGCUUAUCAGCUUGUUGGUGGGGUAGUGGCUUACCAAGGCUUUGACGGGUAGCCGGCCUGAGAGGGUGACCGGCCACAUUGGGACUGAGAUACGGCCCAGACUCCUACGGGAGGCAGCAGUGGGGAAUAUUGCACAAUGGGCGGAAGCCUGAUGCAGCAACGCCGCGUGCGGGAUGACGGCCUUCGGGUUGUAAACCGCUUUCGCCUGUGACGAAGCGUGAGUGACGGUAAUGGGUAAAGAAGCACCGGCUAACUACGUGCCAGCAGCCGCGGUGAUACGUAGGGUGCGAGCGUUGUCCGGAUUUAUUGGGCGUAAAGGGCUCGUAGGUGGUUGAUCGCGUCGGAAGUGUAAUCUUGGGGCUUAACCCUGAGCGUGCUUUCGAUACGGGUUGACUUGAGGAAGGUAGGGGAGAAUGGAAUUCCUGGUGGAGCGGUGGAAUGCGCAGAUAUCAGGAGGAACACCAGUGGCGAAGGCGGUUCUCUGGGCCUUUCCUGACGCUGAGGAGCGAAAGCGUGGGGAGCGAACAGGCUUAGAUACCCUGGUAGUCCACGCUGUAAACGGUGGGUACUAGGUGUGGGGUCCAUUCCACGGGUUCCGUGCCGUAGCUAACGCUUUAAGUACCCCGCCUGGGGAGUACGGCCGCAAGGCUAAAACUCAAAGGAAUUGACGGGGCCCCGCACAAGCGGCGGAGCAUGCGGAUUAAUUCGAUGCAACGCGUAGAACCUUACCUGGGUUUGACAUGGAUCGGGAGUGCUCAGAGAUGGGUGUGCCUCUUUUGGGGUCGGUUCACAGGUGGUGCAUGCCUGUCGUCAGCUCGUGUCGUGAGAUGUUGGGUUAAGUCCCGCAACGAGCGCAACCCUUGUUCACUGUUGCCAGCACGUUAUGGUGGGGACUCAGUGGAGACCGCCGGGGUCAACUCGGAGGAAGGUGGGGAUGACGUCAAGUCAUCAUGCCCCUUAUGUCCAGGGCUUCACGCAUGCUACAAUGGCUGGUACAGAGAGUGGCGAGCCUGUGAGGGUGAGCGAAUCUCGGAAAGCCGGUCUCAGUUCGGAUUGGGGUCUGCAACUCGACCUCAUGAAGUCGGAGUCGCUAGUAAUCGCAGAUCAGCAACGCUGCGGUGAAUACGUUCCCGGGGCU